Molecule: ribosomal RNA, 518 nt
Filed under: Xeroceps skamania
Lineage: Eukaryota; Fungi; Basidiomycota; Agaricomycetes; Russulales
Description: Albatrellus skamanius partial 16S small subunit ribosomal RNA
Rfam family: Bacterial small subunit ribosomal RNA
Source: RNAcentral
GCUAACUGAAAUCAAUCAAAACAUAAUACCAAAUAUUUGAUUGAUAAUGUAAGAAGAAAAUAAUGAUAUUAUCUUACGUUUAGUGUCGUCUAAAACUGGUGCCAGAAGACUCGGUAAGGCCGGAGACGCAAACGUUAGUCCUCUUUAUCAGGCGUAAAGGGUUUUCAGGCUGCUUUGAAAGUUUCUAUCCUUUUUAAAUUAAUUAUAAAAAUAAGAAUAAGGUAAAAGUAAUUUUAUUAUAACUCUUAUAUUAAUUAUAUUUAAAAAUUUAAUAAAAAAUAGAAAUGAAUUAAAGCUAGAAUCUAAUAGAGGUUAAAUUGAAUAAUACUUAGUUUAGGGCUAAUAUCCUAAUAGAUUAAGGAGAAUAUUAAGAGCGAAGGCUUCUCUCCACUAUAGAUUGACGCUAAGAAACGAAGGUGAGGAAAGGAAAUAGGAUUAGAUACCCGAAGUACCCCUCACUGUCAACGAUGAAUGGUAGUCAUUAGUGUAUAUUUAUAUUAGUGACGUAGUUAACACAA